RNAcentral lists this unclassified non-coding RNA (343 nucleotides) under soil metagenome. RNAcentral describes it as "partial contains 5.8S ribosomal RNA, internal transcribed spacer 2, and large subunit ribosomal RNA". The stretch from base 1 to 120 matches the Rfam family "5.8S ribosomal RNA", at positions 35 to 154 of the family's 154-position model. The record is from RNAcentral.
GAUGAAGAACGUAGCGAAAUGCGAUAAGUAAUGUGAAUUGCAGAAUUCAGUGAAUCAUCGAAUCUUUGAACGCACAUUGCGCCCGCCAGUAUUCUGGCGGGCAUGCCUGUUCGAGCGUCAUUUCAACCCUCAGGACCCUUUGGACCUGGUGUUGGGGCUCGGCCGCUACCCCGCGGCCGUCCCCGAAAGAUAGUGGCGGUCUCGCUGUAGCGUCCUCUGCGUAGUAAUUACACCUCGCACUGGAACGCGGCGCGGCCACGCCGUUAAACAACCCACUUCUCAAGGUUGACCUCGGAUCAGGUAGGAAUACCCGCUGAACUUAAGCAUAUCAAUAAGCGGAGGA